CGCUGGCGGCAUGCCUAACACAUGCAAGUCGAACGGAGUAAUGACUUCGGUUAUUACUUAGUGGCGAACGGGUGAGUAACACGUGAAUAAUCUGCCCUGUACGAUGGGAUAACAGCUGGAAACGGCUGCUAAUACCGUAUAUGACCACGCCGAGGCAUCUCGGAGGGGUGAAAGCGCUUAAGCGGUACAGGAUGAGUUCGCGUCCAAUUAGCUAGUUGGUGAGGUAACGGCCCACCAAGGCGACGAUUGGUAGCCGACCUGAGAGGGUGAUCGGCCACACUGGAACUGAGACACGGUCCAGACUCCUACGGGAGGCAGCAGUGGGGAAUAUUGGGCAAUGGAGGAAACUCUUUAACCCCCAGCAAUGCCGCGUGAGUGAUGAAGGUCUUCGGAUUGUAAAGCUCUUUGAUUGGGGACGAAUAAAUGACGGUACCCAAGGAACAAGCCCCGGCUAACUAUGUGCCAGCCGCUGC
RNAcentral lists this ribosomal RNA (473 nucleotides) under uncultured bacterium. Its description in RNAcentral is "bacterial SSU rRNA". It matches the Rfam family "Bacterial small subunit ribosomal RNA", at positions 34 to 518 of the family's 1533-position model. The record is from RNAcentral.